Molecule: small nuclear RNA, 106 nt
Organism: Artibeus jamaicensis (Jamaican fruit-eating bat)
Lineage: Eukaryota; Metazoa; Chordata; Mammalia; Chiroptera; Phyllostomidae
Source: RefSeq, a predicted model, not a curated record
GUGUUUGCUUCAUCAGCACACACACUAAAACUGGAACGAUAAGAGAAGACUUGUACGGCCCCUGGGAAAGGAUGACACGCAAAUUUGUGAAGCGUUCCAUGUUUUU